Molecule: long non-coding RNA, 562 nt
Filed under: Nicotiana tabacum (common tobacco)
Lineage: Eukaryota; Viridiplantae; Streptophyta; Magnoliopsida; Solanales; Solanaceae
Description: long non-coding RNA (NTAB_LNC019600)
Source: RNAcentral
UUACGCCCGAUUCCCAUAUUUUCGUGUGCUAUACCCAGGCCUUCCAAGUGGUCCGGGGAGCCGCGGACCCCGAUCGCCUAACAUUUUACGGAUUAUCAAAUACAACCUAAGGUACCAUAGUCACCGCCCACCAUCAUCGUUCCAAAUGCUUUGCAUAUUUUGGCCAAAAACUAGAACUCUGCGCGAUUUGCAUAUUUUCGUGUGCUAUAGCUUACGCCUUCCGAGUGGUCCCGGGAGCCGUGGACCCCGAUCGCCUAAAAUUUUCCGGGCGAUGAAAUACGACCUAAGGAACCAUAGUCACCGCCCCGCCAUGAUCGUUCCUCAUUUAUUGCAUUUUUUGGCCAAAAAGCUAGAAUUCCGCUCGAUUACCAUAUUUUUGUGUGCCCCACGCCUUCCGAGUGGGCCAGGCGGCCGGACUCGGAUCGCCUAAAAAAUAUUCGGGCCAUAAAUUAGGACCUAAGGAACCAUAGUCACCGCCUCGCCAUUAUCGUUCCUCAUUGUUUGCAUUUUUUGGCCAAAAAAUUAGAAUUCCGCCCGAUUCCCAUAUUUUUGUGUGCUAUCG